AAAGUUUUGCCAUGUUAGUGUUAAUCUAGUAUGGGUAACUGCAGCCUGGAGAAAUGGGCGUGGUAAAAGGUAGGGGCGUGGCGAAAGGUUUUUCAUUGGUCAAAAAAAUUUUCCGGUAGAGGCGUGGCAAAAGGUUUUUUAUUGGUCAGGUUUUCUUUUCGGUCAAAUGUGUUGGCCAAUCAGCAAUCACCAAACGCUUGCACAACGGCGUCGGUAAAGACAUGAUGUUGACUGCUGUAAACAGACAUGUAUUAAGAUUUACGAUCAAAACAGUUUGGUAAUAUGUUUAGGUGUCCGUUUUGUGUGAAUAUUUUGAGAGCUUUACACAUGAUACACACUCAUCUGCAAAGUCACAAACCUCGCACAGUUUAUCACGAACCCUUGUACAUUGCUCCUGAGGUUGGGUUUGACUAUUCUGAGGCUAUAUGACUUGCAUAAGGAGAUUGUGGUGUGGGUUCUUGCUUGAAGACUCAGGGUAAAUAAAAAAUCUUUUUAUACAUUUAAAGUGAUGUCAGUUAGCACUUUGCAAUUAAUUUUUGUUUUCCCUCAAGGUCUCCUUAAGAACGAAAAAGACCUAGAAAUAUGAAAUUUUGAAAUAUAUAUAUACAUACAUACAUACACACUGGCCACUUUAUUAAGUACACCUUACUACAGAGGUGUCAAGGUCAUUUCUUGGAGGACCGCAGCUCUUCACAGUUUUGCUCCAACCCUAAUCUAACACAUCUGAUCCAAAAAAUCAAGGUGAUCAAGACUCUUUUGAAUGCCUUGAUUAUUUAGAGUAGAUUUGUUUGAUUACAGUUGGAGCAAAACUGUGCAGAGCUGCGGUCCUCCAAGAAUUGACUUU
Non-coding RNA from Danio rerio (zebrafish), 844 nucleotides. The record is from RefSeq and is a predicted model, not a curated record. NCBI's taxonomy places the organism in Eukaryota, Metazoa, Chordata, Actinopteri, Cypriniformes, Danionidae.